AGGGGGGGGAAAAAAACCAACCGGGAUUGCCCUAGUAACGGCGAGUGAAGCGGCAACAGCUCAAAUUUGAAAUCUGGCUCUUUUAGAGUCCGAGUUGUAAUUUGCAGAGGGCGCUUUGGCUUUGGCAGCGGUCCAAGUUCCUUGGAACAGGACGUCACAGAGGGUGAGAAUCCCGUACGUGGUCGCUGGCUAUUGCCGUGUAAAGCCCCUUCGACGAGUCGAGUUGUUUGGGAAUGCAGCUCUAAUGGGAGGUACAUUUCUUCUAAAGCUAAAUAUUGGCCAGAGACCGAUAGCGCACAAGUAGAGUGAUCGAAAGAUGAAAAGCACUUUGGAAAGAGAGUCAAACAGCACGUGAAAUUGUUGAAAGGGAAGCGCUUGCAGCCAGACUUGCUUACAGUUGCUCAUCCGGGUUUUUACCCGGUGCACUCUUCUGUAGGCAGGCCAGCAUCAGUUUGGGCGGUAGGAUAAAGGUCUCUGUCACGUACCUCCUUUCGGGGAGGCCUUAUAGGGGAGACGACAUACUACCAGCCUGGACUGAGGUCCGCGCAUCUGCUAGGAUGCUGGCGUAAUGGCUGUAAGCGGCCCGUCUUGAAACACGGACCAAGGAGUCUAACAUCUAUGCGAGUGUUUGGGUGUCAAGCCCGAGCGCGUAAUGAAAGUGAACGGAGGUGGGAACCCGCAAGGGUGCACCAUCGACCGAUCCUGAUGUCUUCGGAAGGAUUUGAGUAAUAGCAUGGCUGUGGGACCCGAAAGAUGGUG
Molecule: ribosomal RNA, 759 nt
Filed under: Alternaria sp. TD17
Lineage: Eukaryota; Fungi; Ascomycota; Dothideomycetes; Pleosporales; Pleosporaceae
Description: eukaryotic LSU rRNA
Rfam family: Eukaryotic large subunit ribosomal RNA
Source: RNAcentral